GAAAGGCCCUGCUUGCAGGGUACUCGAGUGGCGAACGGGUGAGUAACACGUGGGUGAUCUGCCCUGCACUUYGGGAUAAGCUUGGGAAACUGGGUCUAAUACCGGAUAGGAGCCAUCUUUAGUGUGGUGGUUGGAAAGUUUUUUCGGUGUAGGAUGAGCUCGCGGCCUAUCAGCUUGUUGGUGGGGUAAUGGCCUACCAAGGCGGCGACGGGUAGCCGGCCUGAGAGGGUGUACGGCCACCUUGGGACUGAGAUACGGCCCAGACUCCUACGGGAGGCAGCAGUGGGGAAUAUUGCACAAUGGGCGCAAGCCUGAUGCAGCGACGCCGCGUGGGGGAUGAAGGCCUUCGGGUUGUAAACUCCUUUCGCUAGGGACGAAGCUUUGUGUGACGGUACCUAUAUAAGAAGCACCG
This 412-nucleotide ribosomal RNA is filed under the name uncultured Corynebacterium sp. RNAcentral describes it as "bacterial SSU rRNA". It matches the Rfam family "Bacterial small subunit ribosomal RNA", at positions 68 to 495 of the family's 1533-position model. The record is from RNAcentral. Lineage: Bacteria; Bacillati; Actinomycetota; Actinomycetes; Mycobacteriales; Corynebacteriaceae.